AAGUCGAACGAUGAAGUCCUAGCUUGCUAGGAUGGAUUAGUGGCGCACGGGUGAGUAAUAUAUAGUUAAUCUGCCCUACACAGAGGAACAACAGUUGGAAACGGCUGCUAAUACCUCAUACUCCUAUUUGACAUAAGUUAAAUAGGGAAAGUCUUUUCGGUGUAGGAUGAGACUAUAUCGUAUCAGCUAGUUGGUAAGGUAAUGGCUUACCAAGGCUAUGACGCGUAACUGGUCUGAGAGGAUGAUCAGUCACAUUGGAACUGAGACACGGUCCAAACUCCUACGGGAGGCAGCAGUAAGGAAUAUUGCGCAAUGGGGGAAACCCUGACGCAGCAACGCCGCGUGGAGGAUGACACUUUUCGGAGCGUAAACUCCUUUUAUCAGGAAAGAAUAAUGACGGUACCUGAUGAAUAAGCACCGGCUAACUCCGUGCCAGCAGCCGCGGUAAUACGGGGGGUGCAAGCGUUACUCGGAAUCACUGGGCGUAAAGGACGCGUAGGCGGAUUAUCAAGUCUUUUGUGAAAUCUAGUGGCUUAACCACUAAACUGCUUAGGAAACUGAUAGUCUAGAGUAGGGGAGAGGUAGAUGGAAUUCUUGGUGUAGGGGUAAAUCCGUAGAGAUCAAGAAGAAUACCCAUUGCGAAAGCG
Molecule: ribosomal RNA, 647 nt
Filed under: uncultured Campylobacterales bacterium
Lineage: Bacteria; Pseudomonadati; Campylobacterota; Epsilonproteobacteria; Campylobacterales
Description: bacterial SSU rRNA
Rfam family: Bacterial small subunit ribosomal RNA
Source: RNAcentral